UCUCCCUUUAUCUAUUAUCAUAACAAGGCAACAUUGGAUACCGUGUCUUCACGGUCGCCAUGUGUCGCUUAUGAACAUUUCGGUCUCGCGCAAUGGAAAUCCACGAACCGUGUCAGGUCGGGAACGAAGCAGCACUAAGAGGAAUCUUCCAUGUGCCGCGAGGAAACCGGAGUGUUCGCGGCACUGACGGCUAUGUGGAUACGGUAUUUUUGUAUGGCUGA
RNAcentral lists this unclassified non-coding RNA (221 nucleotides) under Lachnospiraceae bacterium YSD2013. Its description in RNAcentral is "Bacterial large signal recognition particle RNA". The stretch from base 77 to 176 matches the Rfam family "Bacterial small signal recognition particle RNA". Lineage: Bacteria; Bacillati; Bacillota; Clostridia; Lachnospirales; Lachnospiraceae. The record is from RNAcentral.